This 407-nucleotide ribosomal RNA is filed under the name uncultured bacterium. Its description in RNAcentral is "partial 16S ribosomal RNA". It matches the Rfam family "Bacterial small subunit ribosomal RNA", at positions 360 to 774 of the family's 1533-position model. The record is from RNAcentral.
AAUGUUGCGUAAUGGAGGAAACUCUGACGCAGCGACGCAGGGUGAGCGAUGAAGGUAUUCGGAUCGUACAGCUCUGUCCUUGGGGAAGGAGAUCGAAAGAUUUGACGGUACCCGAGGAGGAUGCUCCGGCUAACCACCUGCCACAAGCCGCAGUAAGACGCAGGGGGCGAGCGUUGCCGGGAAUUACUGGGCGUAAAGGUUACGUAGGCGGCUAUAUAAGUCAGGUGUGAAAUACCAGUGCUUAACACUGGAAUUGCAUUUGAAACUGUGUAGCUUGAGUUCAGGAGAGGAAAGUGGAAUUCCUAGUGUAGCGGUGAAAUGCGUAGAGAUUAGGAGGAACACCAGUGGCGAAGGCGACUUUCUGGACUGUAACUGACGCUGAGGUACGAAAGCGUGGGUAGCGAACA